Molecule: ribosomal RNA, 292 nt
Filed under: uncultured bacterium
Lineage: Bacteria
Description: partial 16S ribosomal RNA
Source: RNAcentral
GGACUACAGGGGUAUCUAAUCCCGUUCGCUCCCCUCGCUUUCGCACCUGAGCGUCAGAUACCAGCCAGGACCCUGCCUUCGCCUUUGGUGUUCCUCCGGAUCUCUACGCAUUUCACCACUCCACCCGGAAUUCCAGGUCCCUCUCUGGUCCUCAAGUCCGACCGUUUUCCCGAGUCUUGCAAAGUUGAGCUUUGCACUGUCACCGGAAACGCAUCGGACCGCCUGCGUGCGCUUUACGCCCAGUAACUCCGGACAACGCUUGCCCCCUACGUAUUACCGCGGCUGCUGGCAC